AAGCGGGUGAAAAGCCCGCUCGCCGGAAGACCAAGGGUUCCUGUCCAACGUUAAUCGGGGCAGGGUAAGUCGACCCCUAAGGCGAGGCCGAAAGGCGUAGUCGAUGGGAAACGGGUUAAUAUUCCCGUACUUCUUACAAUUGCGAUGGGGGGACGGAGAAGGCUAGGUGGGCCUGGCGACGGUUGUCCAGGUUCAAGUGCGUAGGCUUAAGAGUUAGGUAAAUCCGGCUCUUUUUAAGGCUGAGACACGACGUCGAGCMWCUACGGWKGUGAAGUCAUUGAUGCCAUGCUUCCAGGAAAAGCCUCUAAGCUUCAGAUUGUAAGGAAUCGUACCCCAAACCGACACAGGUGGUCGGGUAGAGAAUACCAAGGCGCUUGAGAGAACUMGGGUGAAGGAACUAGGCAAAAUGGUACCGUAACUUCGGGAGAAGGUACGCUCUCGACGGUGAAGUCCCUCGCGGAUGGAGCUAUUGAGAGUCGCAGAUACCAGG
RNAcentral lists this ribosomal RNA (490 nucleotides) under Salmonella enterica subsp. enterica serovar Typhi. RNAcentral describes it as "partial 23S ribosomal RNA". The record is from RNAcentral. Lineage: Bacteria; Pseudomonadati; Pseudomonadota; Gammaproteobacteria; Enterobacterales; Enterobacteriaceae.